GUGUCGGUAGUGCAGCGGUUUAGCACGUGCUCCCGAAAAGAGUGAGAUCUGGGUUUGAAUCCCAGCUGACGUA
This is a non-coding RNA of Parelaphostrongylus tenuis, 73 nucleotides long. Lineage: Eukaryota; Metazoa; Nematoda; Chromadorea; Rhabditida; Metastrongylidae. The record is from the annotation of a GenBank genome assembly.